GUAUUUCGGCAUAGUUCGUCCUCCCAAAAAUACCCAAACUCAACAAAAAUACUCAAUAAGCUGUAAAUAUUAUUUAAAUCAACCUAUGAAACUCAUACCUCACUUACCCAAUUUUGGAGCCUCAAGAAGAAAUUAUUGAAUUUCUGAACAGGAUGUAGGUUUAAUCAGGAUCUUGCUGAAGGAUCUUAGAAGGUUGUGGGUUAAUUGGGUUAAGAAGGAGGAGAUUUGGGUUAAAAGAGGAUUUUUUUUUUUUUUUUUUACACUACCAGAGCAAAAGCUCUGUUCUCUCUCUUUUUUUUUCUCGCGAGGAAGAAGGGUUCUCUGGUUUCGGGAAUGUUUCGGGACAUUCCCGAAACCAGAGCUUUAAUGCUCCUUUUCUCUUCUUUUUUUUUAUUAAAAUUAAUAGGCCUGGGCCUGGGCCUUAGAAUUCUCUCCUCCUAAUAGAAAUUUUGUCCUCGAAAUUUACAUACCUGGUGGAGGGAACAAAUGUGGAAAUUGAAUUCGCAUAUUCUCUUCUUUUUCCCAGUUAGCUUCUUUAGCAGAAUGAUUACUCCAUCGAACUUUAACCAGGGGUAUUAUCUUGCUCCUUAAAACCUUCUUUUCUCUGGCAAUGAUCUCUACUGGCUCUUCUUCAUAUGUUAAGUCUUCCCUCAACUCGAUAGGCUGUUUCUGGAGGAUGUGGGAAGGGUCACUUCUAUAUCUCCUUAACAUGGAUACAUGGAAGACAUCAUGAAUCUGAGAUAGCUCUGGAGGUAGUGCUAAACGAUAAGCAACUGGUCCAAUUCUCUCUAAAAUCUCAUAUGGUCCUAUGAAUCGCGGACUCAAUUUUCCACGUUUACCAAAAUGUACAACCCCUUUCCAAGGAGAAAUCUUUAGAAAUACCUUGUCGCCAACAUUAUAUUCAAUAUCCCUUCUCUUUAGAUCUUCAUAACUCUUCUGUCUGUCUUGUGCUGCUUUUAAUCGAUUUCUGAUCAUCUGAAUGUUAUCUGCCGUGUGUUGCACUAAUUCUGGACCUUCUAAUUGUUUUUCCCCUACCUCAUUCCAACACAAUGGUGUUCUGCAUCUCCUCCCAUACAAAGCUUCGUAAGGAGCCAUGCCGAUACUCGAAUGAUAACUAUUAUUAUAAGAAAACUCCAUUAAUUGCACAUACCUAUCCCAACUUCCUUUAAACUCCAUCACACAAGCUCUCAGCAUAUCUUCCAAGGUCUGGAUAGUUCUUUCUGAUUGACCAUCAGUCUGAGGGUGAAAGGAAGUGCUAAACUUCAACUUAGUGCCUAACGCAUUUUGCAAACUAGGCCAAAAAUGAGAAGUGAAUCUUGGAUCUCUAUCUGAAACAAUAGAAACUGGAGCACCAUGAAGUCUUACAAUCUCACUGACAUAGAUCUCUGCUAACUUGUCUAAAGAGUAAUCCAUCCUGACAGGCAAAAAGUGUGCUGACUUGGUUAACCUAUCCACUAUCACCCAUAUUGCAUUAUGUCCACGCGAAGUACGAGGUAACCCUGAAACAAAAUCCAUAGUAAUGUGUUCCCACUUCCAUUCCGGAAUAGAGAGCGGUUGCAGCUUUCCUAUUGGAUGUUGAUGUUCUGCUUUAAUCUGUUGGCAAACUAAGCAUGUGGACACAAAGUCAGCUAUUUCUUUCUUCAUACCUGGCCACCAAUAGUUUUCUCUAAGAUCUCUGUACAUUUUUGUACUUCCUGGAUGCAUAUAGUAAGCAGAACAAUGGGCUUCCUCCAUAAUCUCUCUCUUAGAAAAGUCAGUACGGGUGCCAUCUCUUACUUCAUUCCUGAUCUUACUCAACUGCUCAUCUUGAUUUUGGGCUUCUCUGACUUUUUCUAUCACAAUUGGUCGAACUUUAAGAGUUGCUAACAAUGCUCCUGCAUCAUCCACUGCUAGCUCUACCCUUAAGGAUCUGAUCUCUAGUAACAAAGGAAGCCGAACUGUUUUGAGAUAAGCCAACUUACUAAAGGACUUGCGACUAAGGGCAUCAGCUACCACAUUAGCUUUACCUAGAUGAUAUUCAAUGGUACAGUCGUAGUCCUUAAGUAACUCAAUCCACCGUCUGUGCCUUAAAUUCAACUCCUUCUGUGUGAGAAGAUACUUCAAACUCUUAUGAUCUGUAAAAAUCUGGCAAGUCACGCCAUAAAGAUAAUGCCGCCAUGUCUUUAAUGCAAACACAACUGCAGCUAAUUCCAGAUCAUGGGUGGGAUAAUUUAAUUCAUGUGGUCUAAGCUGUCUAGAAGCAUAAGCUAUCACCUUCCCAUGUUGCAUGAGUACACAGCCUAAACCCUUGUGAGAAGCAUCACUAUACACCACAAAUCCAUCUGUACCUGAGGGUAAGGUAAGAACUGGGGCUGAUGUGAGACACGUUUUAAGCUUCUCAAAACUCUCUUGACAUUCAUCUGUCCAUUCAAACUUUGCAUUUUUUCGAAGGAGUUUAGUCAAUGGUGCUGCAAUGAUGGAGAAAUCCUGAACAAAGCGACGAUAAUACCCUGCUAAGCCCAGAAAACUUCUAACCUCUGUAACAUUCGUUGGAGGAUCCCAAUUGACUACUGCUUCAAUCUUCUUAGGAUCAACCAAAAAUCCAUCUGCUAAGAUAACAUGCCCCAAGAAAACCACCCGAUCAAGCCAGAACUCACAUUUGCUCAAUUUAGCAUAUAGUUGUUUAUCUCUCAAAAUCUGCAGUACUAUUCGUAAAUGCUUCUCAUGCUCUUCCUUGCUACGGGAAUAUACUAAGAUGUCAUCAAUAAACACAAUAACAAAGUUAUCCAAGUAGGGCUUGAACACCCUAUUCAUGAGAUCCAUAAAAGCAGUGGGUGCAUUAGUUAACCCGAAAGGCAUAACAAGGAACUCAUAAUGCCCGUAACAAGUUCUGAAGGCUGUCUUAGGUAUUUCAGACUCCUUGAUCUUCAAUUGAUGAUACCCAGACCGCAAAUCAAUCUUAGAGAAUACUUUAGCACCUUGGAGCUGAUAAAAAAGAUCAUCAAUGCGGGGUAAAGGAUACUUAUUUCGCACUGUGACUCGAUUCAAUUGUCUGUAGUCAAUACAUAACCUUAAGGAACCAUCCUUCUUCUUCACAAAUAGCACAGGGGCUCCCCAAGGUGAAACACUGGGUCUUAUGAAACCUUUAUCAAGUAGCUCCUGCAAUUAUGCUUUUAACUCCUUCAAUUCUGUUGGGGCCAUUCGGUAUGGUGCCAUAGAAAUAGGAGUUGUACCUGGAUUCAAAUCAAUAGAGAAUUCAAUCUCUCUAUCUAGAGGCAACCCAGGAAGCUCUUCAGGAAAUACAUCAGGAAACUCGCUUACUACUGGUAUAUCUUCCAAGUUAGGUUCUUCCCGACUACUGUCCAUCACAUAGGCGAAGUAUGCUUGACAACCCUUCCGAAGCAUCUUCCUAGUAGUCAUGGCGGAAAUCACAUAAGAAGGAAGUAAACGCCUCUCCCCAAAGAAAGUGAACUUAGACCCUUCUGGACUAUUAAAUACCACUGAUUUCUCAAAGCAAUCUAUUGUGGCAUGAUGACGAGAUAACCAGUCCAUACCUAAGAUGACAUCCAGAUCUUGUAGACACAAAGGAACUAGAUCCACUAACAGCUCAUGAUUGCCCAACUUAACAACACAAUCCCUAUACACAUAUUCACAUACAACAGAAUCCCCAACUGGAGUACUCACAGCUAAUCCACAGUCUAAAAGUUUUAAUUCUCUAUCAGUAUGCUUAGAGAAGGAUUGAGAUACGAAAGAGCGAGUGGAACCAGGAUCUAUAAGAAUGUGUGCAUCUUUAUCGAAAAUAGUUAACAUACCAGUCACCACCUCUGGAGAUGCUCGUGCCUCCUGCUGUGUCAUAGCAAAAACUCUGGCCUGAGUACGAGGUCUGCCGAGUUGCAUCGUUGGUCUAGACUGAGAAGAUGAAGUAGCUCCACUGGCUCUGCUUGUGCCAGGCCCCACUUGUGCCGUAGGUACACCUUGUGAUGGUGUCACACCAUACCUUAGAUUCUGAGGCGCCACUGAUCCUUGCUGAGAACCACUGUCUCUGGCUAUCAGCAAUGGACAAUCUCUCUUAAAAUGUCCCGAAGAACCACAUUCAAAACAACCCCUAUCGAAUUUUCUGCACUCCCCAGCAUGAUGUUUACCACAGGUGACACAUUGAGGAAAAAGUCUCUUCCUUUGUUCAAACCCAGAAUCAUAUCCUUGUCCUUGUCCAUGUGUCUGUGCCCUAAAGGAACUACCCACUGGCUGUGCUACUGAACUCUGACUAGACUGUGGUCGAGCAACCUGCUGCUCUGUGUUAACAAAGGAACCUCUACCGCUACCACUGUAUCCAGCUUGGGACUGAAAUGAACUACUCCCUCUCUUCCCUGGUCUUUCUCUGAACCCUUGUGAGCCCUGCAAAUGCUUUCUACUCAUCUUCUGUUCAUACUCUUUCUCUUCUUGCUUAACUUUUUCAACAUUCAAAGAUGCUUCCACCAACUCUUUGAAAUUAUUACCUCUGAACCAGGUCAUAGAUGAUCUGAUAUUAACAUGUAGACCCUGUCUGAAUCUGUCACAUUUUGCUUCCUCAUAAGGCAAUAUAUCUGAAACAAAGCAAUAAAGAUCUUCAAACUUGUCAACAUACUCUCUUAUUGAGAGGCUUCCCUGAAACAACCUGAAAAAGGCAUCCUUUUUUCCUUUCCUGUAACUAUCUGACAAAUAUUCCUGGCGAAAUUCAUGAAUAAAUUGAUCCCAAGUCAGUCUGACUCCAUGUCUGCGACGGAUGCCAUCGAACCAAGCAUCAGCCUUACCCUGAAGCAAACCAUGUACAUUAUCUACCUUCUCUGGAUCAGUCAACUUCAUUAAUUCAAACACUUUUAGCACUUUCUUUAACCAUUUAUCUGCAAUGUCAGCAUCAGAGGAACCCUCAAAAUCAUAAGCUCCCAAACGUCUAGCACGAUCCACUAUCUCCCACGGAUCUCUAGGUUUGGCUGUAACAGCUGCUGUAACUACUUGUGCCACAAAAGCACCCAAGUCUGCAUUUAUCUGGAAAGGAUGGGCUGGUGCUACAGGUGGAACAAAAGGUGGAAUUGUAGGUGCAACAGGAGGUGCAACUGCAGGUGCCGAGGAAAGCGAUGGUGUAGUCGGAUAUGCCCCUGAUUCAACACCAUGAGAAACAGAUUCUCCAUGUCCUUCUCGGCUCUCAGAUAACUCAUGAUCUGCCACCCCUUCAAGAGGCGGAGGUGCAACUGUAGGAUCCCUAGAAGGUCGACCAAUAUCAGCUAAUCUAGCUGUACGAACACCACGGCCCUGACUUCUAUUACCUACUCUGGGCGGCAUUGUCCUACAAACAAAAAUAGGAAAAGCAGUAUCAAAAUAUAAUUCAAAAUACUGACUCGAGGCAAGUCUACAGAAUCUAUAAACCUAUGCUCUGAUACCAAAAAUUGUCACACCCAAUCCCCAAACUGUAGAGACUGAUAUGACCCGGAAAACUGACAGAACUUCCCCUGAUAAUUAUACUUAUAAAAACAUGUAACCUGCUAUAAUUCCAAAUGAUAAAACAUAUAAGAGAAAAACUGAUAAUUGGACCUGUCAAUUCAUAAAAUAUUUACAACAAUAAAAUACCGUUUCCACUGGACUGUCCAAUCUAUACAUGAUCUAUCAAGAUUACAAAAAGAAAAGACAAAAGACUUAGGAUUGGUCCGACCUCCUCUAGACUCUGAGUAGACGAUGUAGAAAGAAGGAUAAACUAGAAGAUGAGGACUGCUGAGCAGAUCACCAAAAAGGAACUGAAAUAGUAAAAGAAAUAUAAGGGUGAGUACAAACUACUCAGUGAGCGGAUAAAUAAAUAACACAGGGGAAAAGAUAAGUGUAGGUACUUCAUAGUACCUAAUAUGUAGCUAAAAUAAAUCAGCUGAAUAAAUACAAUUUAAUUCCAUCAAUAUAAGAUAAACUGUGAAAAAUAGAAUCCGCAUACACUCAUAAUAUGUUCCCUGCAGAUAAUGCUGGCAUCUCAGGUAUAAUAAAAUAAUAACAGCCUGAGAGCAGUACUGGCAUCUUAGGCUCUAUAAUGACAAAUUUGGCCCAAGAGCAAAUAAAAUACUGGUCAUACACAUGUGCAGAGCUACCCCCAAAGGGUGACCACCUGACAUACGCCCCAAAGGCUAUCUGUAUAUCAAGCGCUGUCCCAAAGACAGUAUAAUUAUAUAUAUCAUGUUGAAAAUAAAUCACCCGUCAUCAAGGUGUUAUCUGUUUGGUGCAUAUACAGAGUGUAAUCGGCUAUUUAUUCAGCUGUGCUUCGUAUUCAAGAUAUAUAAAUUAUCAUUAUCCUUUCCCAAUGUAAAUAAACAACAUAACAUAUUCACAUAUAAAUAUAUUUUAAAAAAAAUAUCAAUGUUAGAUAUUUAUCCACUCACCAGAAUACUUGGGACAAAAGACCUAGGUCGCAGGAGGACCCCUAUUAUCUAUUCUGGAAGCUGGAUCCUCUCCUAGAAUUAAAAAGAAAAUAAAAGAAUAUAUCAAAUAAUAAAAAUACUCUAGAACAAGAAUAUAAAACGUAACAUACGAAAUUUGAAACUAUGUUUAUAUAUAUUGUUAAGAAAAUUUAGGCAGUAUUUCGGCAUAGUUCGUCCUUCCAAAAAUACCCAAACUCAACAAAAAUACUCAAUAAGCUGUAAAUAUUAUUUAAAUCAACCUAUGAAACUCAUACCUCACUUACCCAAUUUUGGAGCCUCAAGAAGAAAUUAUUGAAUUUAUGAACAGGAUGUAGGUUUAAUCAGGAUCUUGCUGAAGGAUCUUAGAAGGUUGUGGGUUAAUUGGGUUAAGAAGGAGGAGAUUUGGGUUAAAAGAGGAUUUUUUUUUUUU
RNAcentral lists this long non-coding RNA (6822 nucleotides) under Manihot esculenta (cassava). RNAcentral's name for it is "long non-coding RNA (MESC_LNC009819)". The record is from RNAcentral. Lineage: Eukaryota; Viridiplantae; Streptophyta; Magnoliopsida; Malpighiales; Euphorbiaceae.